GACGAACGCUGGCGGCGUGCUUAACACAUGCGAGUCGAACGGAAAGGCCUGCUUUCCCUUGUGGAUUGCGGGUACUCGAGUGGCGAACGGGUGAGUAACACGUGAGUGAUCCGCCCCCAACUUGGGUAUAAGCCUGGGAAACUGGGUCUAAUUCCCGAUAGGACUGCAGGGUGGUGCCUGUGGUGGAAAACGAUUUUCUAGUGGUUGGGGAUGAGCUCGCGGCCUAUCAGCUUGUUGGUGGGGUAAUGGCCUACCAAGGCGGCGACGGGUAGCCGGCCUGAGAGGGUGGACGGCCACAUUGGGACUGAGAUACGGCCCAGACUCCUACGGGAGGCAGCAGUGGGGAAUAUUGCACAAUGGGCGGAAGCCUGAUGCAGCGACGCCGCGUGGGGGAUGACGGCCUUCGGGUUGUAAACUCCUUUCGACCGCGAGGAAGCCACCUGGUUGGAAGGGUGGUGACGGUAGUGGUAGAAGAAGCACCGGCUAACUACGUG
Molecule: ribosomal RNA, 494 nt
Filed under: uncultured bacterium
Lineage: Bacteria
Description: partial 16S ribosomal RNA
Rfam family: Bacterial small subunit ribosomal RNA
Source: RNAcentral